CUGGUGAGUGAGUGAAUUGAGAUGAGGUAUGGAGGGACUUGGCUCCUGGUGAGUGAGUUAAUUGAGACUCUGUGUGGAGGGACCUGGCUCCUGGUGAGUGAGUUAAUUGAGAUGAGGUAUGGAGGGACCUGGCUCCUGGUGAGUGAGUUAAUUGAGAUCAGGUAUGGAGGGACCUGGCUCCUGGUGAGUGAGUUAAUUGAGAUGAGGUGUGGAGGGACCUGGCUCCUGGUGAGUGAGUUAAUUGAGAUGAGGUAUGGAGGGACCUGGCUCCUGGUGAGUGAGUUAAUUGAGAUCAGGUAUGGAGGGACCUGGCUCCUGGUGAGUGAGUUAAUUGAGAUGAGGUAUGGAGGGACCUGGCUCCUGGUGAGUGAGUGAAUUGAGAUCAGGUAUGGAGGGACUUGGCUCCUGGUGAGUGAGUUAAUUGAGACUCUGUGUGGAGGGACCUGGCUCCUGGUGAGUGAGUUAAUUGAGAUGAGGUAUGGAGGGACCUGGCUGCUGGUGAGUGAGGUAUGGAGGGACCUGGCUCCUGGUGAGUGAGUUAAUUGAGGUCAGGUAUGGAGGGACCUGGCUCCUGGUGAGUGAGUUAAUUGAGAUCAGUUAUGGAGGGACCUGGCUCCUGGUGAGUGAGUUAAUUGAGAUGAGGUAUGGAGGGACCUGGCUCCUGGUGAGUCUCCUGGAGGCAGCUGCUAUCUGGGAACACAGGCACAGGUGGGAACAGACCUUCACUUCCUGCUCACUUAGGUUCAGUGAGUUCUCC
This 757-nucleotide long non-coding RNA is filed under the name Homo sapiens (human). RNAcentral describes it as "non-protein coding lnc-MUC20-67:147". Lineage: Eukaryota; Metazoa; Chordata; Mammalia; Primates; Hominidae. The record is from RNAcentral.